UGGGGUAUAUUGCACAAUGGGCGAAAGCCUGAUGCAGCGACGCCGCGUGGGGGAUGAAGGCCUUCGGGUUGUAAACUUCUUUUGCUCUGAACAAGGCGCACCAUGGGGUGUGUUGAGUGUAGGGGUUGAUUAGCGCCGGCUAACUACGUGCCAGCAGCCGCGGUAAUACGUAGGGCGCGAGCGUUGUCCGGAAUUAUUGGGCGUAAAGGGCUUGUAGGUGGCUGGUUGCGUCUGUCGUGAAAGCUCAUGGCUUAACUGUGGGUUUGCGGUGGGUACGGGCUGGCUUGAGUGCAGUAGGGGAGGCUGGAAUUCCUGGUGUAGCGGUGGAAAGCGCAGAUAUCAGGAGGAAUACCGGUGGCGAAGGCGGGUCUCUGGGCUGUUACUGACACUGAGGAGCGAAAGCAUGGGGAGCGAACAGG
RNAcentral lists this ribosomal RNA (419 nucleotides) under bacterium. RNAcentral's name for it is "partial 16S ribosomal RNA". It matches the Rfam family "Bacterial small subunit ribosomal RNA", at positions 355 to 776 of the family's 1533-position model. The record is from RNAcentral.